AUAAAGUGAAGGCAGGAGUAGAUCUUCUUAAUGCACAGAAGGUCAGCUCUUUGAAAUCCAUCAACCACAAGUGAAAAGAGUUUAAAUCACCUGUGACACGUUAUAACCCUUUGAGGCUGGAUUAAAGGCUUGUCGUGAAACUGCGAGGAAGCUGCGAAAGAAAGGGGAAUAAAUUCUAGAGUCAGAAUUACCAGGAGAAGGACAAUGUUCUAGCGACAGGGGCCUUGAUGAGCAACGUUCUCCAAGGGCUGACCUCAUUACUGCUCAUUCUGGUGGAUGGGUGUCCCUGUGCUUGUGGAAGGCAGUCCUAAUCGCUUCAUAUUGCUUUUGUUGUGGUUGCAAUAUAGUCUCAGUUAACUGCUGGAGUCUUAGGAACUGGAUGGAGAAAGAACAGACCAUCCGCGGAAGAGCCUCACAGCAGGCUGGCUCCACAGCAGGUCAAUGAGCCAGCACUGUGGACUGCUUCCCGGGGAGCCCAUGGUGGUUGGGGCUCCUUAGGAAUCUGGCUUAUGUAGCAACCUCUUUCUCCUGAAUAAGUCCUUCUUCCUGUCACCACUGCUUUUUUAUUCAUUUGUUUAAAUCCCAAGACUGUCUGUUAUGCCCAAAUAUUGAAUCAGGCUUCUGUUUGCAGCAAGAACUAUUAAUAGUUUUAGAUGUGAAUUUGGCUUUUGUUGAAGAAUAUUAUUUUCAGUAAUUGUCAGUUCAUUAGAAUAUAAGUAAGGCUUGGAAUUUUGCUGAAAAAAGUAUGAUACUUGAAUUAAAAUAAAUAUAAACAAAGAACUUCAAUAUUUUGAUUUAUUUAUAGACUACAGUAUUUGUAUAUUGAAAGCCAAAAAUAAUAAUAAAAAAAAGCUAUAAGAAAGCAGAACUACUAUAAAGAAUUAUUUGACUUUUCACUUGGGCAUCUUUGCUUUGCUUACGAAAUAACUAAAGUACAUUGGUACAUAUGCUGUUAGUACAUAACGUGCUGAGGGUCUUAGAAAUGGACCCCGUGUUCGUAAGCUUAUUGUUGAUUUUUUUGUUCAACUUUAUUUUCUGUCUGUUUGAAUAUAAAUUCAACCAAGAGACCUUCCCUUUCCUCCCAGCCUUAAAGCAUUUUCUCU
Molecule: long non-coding RNA, 1103 nt
Filed under: Mus musculus (house mouse)
Lineage: Eukaryota; Metazoa; Chordata; Mammalia; Rodentia; Muridae
Description: long non-coding RNA chr2:45129386-45130489
Source: RNAcentral